RNAcentral lists this ribosomal RNA (512 nucleotides) under uncultured bacterium. Its description in RNAcentral is "partial 16S ribosomal RNA". It matches the Rfam family "Bacterial small subunit ribosomal RNA", at positions 28 to 507 of the family's 1533-position model. The record is from RNAcentral.
GAUGAACGCUGGCGGCGUGCCUAAUACAUGCAAGUCGAACGAAACUUCUUUAUCACCGAGUGCUUGCACUCACCGAUAAAGAGUUGAGUGGCGAACGGGUGAGUAACACGUGGGCAACCUGCCCAAAAGGGGGGGAUAACACUUGGAAACAGGUGCUAAUACCGCAUAACCAUAGUUACCGCAUGGUAACUAUGUAAAAGGUGGCUAUACUACCGCUUUUGGAUGGGCCCGCGGCGCAUUAGCUAGUUGGUAGGGUAAAGGCUUACCAAGGCAAUGAUGCGUAGCCGAAUUGAGAGGUUGAUCGGCCACAUUGGGACUGAGACACGGCCCAAACUCCUACGGGAGGCAGCAGUAGGGAAUCUUCCACAAUGGGCGAAAGCCUGAUGGAGCAACGCCGCGUGGGUGAAGAAGGUCUUCGGAUCGUAAAACCCUGUUGUUAGAGAAGAAAGUGCGUGAGAGUAACUGUUCACGUUUCGACGGUAUCUAACCAGAAAGCCACUGCUAACUACGUG